GACGAACGCUGGCGGCGUGCCUAACACAUGCAAGUCGAGCGGGGAACGGAUGGUAGCUUGCUACUGUUUGUUUCUAGCGGCGGACGGGUGAGUAACGCGUGAGCAACCUGCCUUUAUCAGGGGGAUAACGCAUCGAAAGAUGUGCUAAUACCGCGUAAGACCACAGCUUCACAUGGAGCGGGGGUCAAAGGAGCAAUCCGGAUAAAGAUGGGCUCGCGUCCGAUUAGCUAGUUGGUGAGAUAACAGCCCACCAAGGCGACGAUCGGUAGCCGACCUGAGAGGGUGAUCGGCCACAUUGGAACCGAGAGACGGUCCAGACUCCUACGGGAGGCAGCAGUGGGGAAUAUUGGGCAAUGGGCGAAAGCCUGACCCAGCAACGCCGCGUGAGGGAAGAAGGGUUUCGGCUCGUAAA
This 412-nucleotide ribosomal RNA is filed under the name uncultured bacterium. RNAcentral's name for it is "bacterial SSU rRNA". It matches the Rfam family "Bacterial small subunit ribosomal RNA", at positions 28 to 429 of the family's 1533-position model. The record is from RNAcentral.